This 576-nucleotide ribosomal RNA is filed under the name Triticum aestivum (bread wheat). RNAcentral describes it as "partial small subunit ribosomal RNA". The record is from RNAcentral. Lineage: Eukaryota; Viridiplantae; Streptophyta; Magnoliopsida; Poales; Poaceae.
AUGCAUGCCGCCGUCGCUGGCGACGCCCUCCGCAAACGCAUGGCCUCCCGAAGCGAGCGCCGGGAGGACGACGUCGCCCUCCUCCGCGACCACCUGGACGCCGAGCGGGUGGAUGACGCCGUCCGCGAGCGCGCCAUCGCCCUGUUGGAUGCCGCCCUCCACGGACACGCCGUGAGGCAGCUGGAGGACGCCGUCCGCGAGCGCGCAAUCGCCCUGCAGGACGCCGCCCUCCACGGACACGCCGUGAGGCAGCUGGAGGACGCCGUCCGCGAGUGCGCAAUCGCCCUGCAGGACGCCGCCUGUCGUGGGAACGCCGUCGCGCGAGUGGUCGACGCCGUUCUUGAGUGCUCCGUCGUCCUUCUGGACGGCGCCCUCUGCGGGAAUGCCGUAGUGCGGAUGGACGUCGCCGUCGUCAAGCGCGCCGUCGUCCGGGGCGCUGCAGUCAGCGAGCAUGCUGUCCUCCGCAAGCAGGCUAUCAAGCACGAGCUCGCUGUCUUCUACAGGCUGGCUGUCUUCCCACAAGUAGCUAGACUCCAUGAGGUUGAGCUUGAGAGGGAGGAGAAGAAGAUGGAGUAG